UGUUACUUCACCGGCUCAAGCCACCAUGGUCGCUCCAUUCACCGGCUUGAAGUCAUCCGCUGCAUUCCCAGUCACCCGCAAGACCAACACCGACAUUACUUCCAUCGCAAGCAACGGAGGAAGAGUUAGCUGCAUGAAGGUAAUUAAAUGUCACUAUAAGUUCAUAUAUAUAUAUAUACGAAAUCGAAGUAAUAUUAAUUGGAAAUGUUAUUUAUAGGUGUGGCCACCAAUUGGAAAGAAGAAGUUUGAGACUCUCUCUUACCUUCCUGACCUUACCGAAGUUGAAUUGGCUAAGGAAGUUGACUACCUUCUCCGCAACAAGUGGAUUCCCUGUGUUGAAUUCGAGUUGGAGGUAAUAAAAAUCGAAAAUCAUAUACAUAAAUAUUUAGAGUAGCUUGACCAUAUGAAUCUUGCAACGAUCUUAAAACUGUUUAGAGGUCCUAUGCAGAAUCUUGAUUUAUAUGUACAUAUUUGAAAUGUUCUUGAAUGGUUUUUGUAAUGUGUUUUGUAGAACGGGUUUGUGCACCGUGAGCACGGAAGCACUCCCGGAUACUACGAUGGACGUUACUGGACAAUGUGGAAGCUUCCUUUGUUCGGAUGCACUGACUCAGCUCAAGUGUUGAAGGAAGUGCAAGAGUGCAAGAAGGAGUACCCCCAGGCCUUCAUUAGGAUCAUCGGAUUCGACAACACCCGUCAAGUCCAGUGCAUCAGUUUCAUCGCCUACAAGCCACCAAGCUUCACCGAUGCUUAAGUCACUUU
This 759-nucleotide long non-coding RNA is filed under the name Eutrema salsugineum. RNAcentral's name for it is "long non-coding RNA (ESAL_LNC001577)". Lineage: Eukaryota; Viridiplantae; Streptophyta; Magnoliopsida; Brassicales; Brassicaceae. The record is from RNAcentral.